This 305-nucleotide ribosomal RNA is filed under the name uncultured bacterium. Its description in RNAcentral is "bacterial SSU rRNA". It matches the Rfam family "Bacterial small subunit ribosomal RNA", at positions 337 to 634 of the family's 1533-position model. The record is from RNAcentral.
GCCUACGGGGGGCAGCAGUGGGGAAUAUUGCGCAAUGGGCGAAAGCCUGACGCAGCGACGCCGCGUGAGGGAUGAAGGUCUUCGGAUCGUAAACCUCUGUCAGCAGGGAAGAACGGUCACUGUGCUAAUCAGCAGUGAAUUGACGGUACCUGCAAAGGAAGCACCGGCUAACUCCGCGCCAGCAGCCGCGGUAAUACGGAGGGUGCGAGCGUUAAUCGGAAUUACUGGGCGUAAAGCGCUCGUAGGCGGUACGUCAAGUCAAGGGUGAAAUCCCCGCGCUCAACGUGGGAACUGCCUUUGAAACU